RNAcentral lists this ribosomal RNA (253 nucleotides) under uncultured bacterium. RNAcentral's name for it is "partial 16S ribosomal RNA". It matches the Rfam family "Bacterial small subunit ribosomal RNA", at positions 524 to 776 of the family's 1533-position model. The record is from RNAcentral.
UACGUAGGGUGCAAGCGUUGUCCGGAAUUAUUGGGCGUAAAGAGCUUGUAGGCGGUUUGUCGCGUCUGCUGUGAAAUUUCGGGGCUCAACCCCGAACUUGCAGUGGGUACGGGCAGACUAGAGUGUGGUAGGGGAGACUGGAAUUCCUGGUGUAGAGGUGAAAUUCGUAGAUAUCAGGAGGAACACCGGUGGCGAAGGCGGCUUUCUGGACGACAACUGACGCUGAGACGCGAAAGCGUGGGGAGCAAACAGG